RNAcentral lists this ribosomal RNA (654 nucleotides) under Enterobacter sp. EECC-447. Its description in RNAcentral is "bacterial SSU rRNA". It matches the Rfam family "Bacterial small subunit ribosomal RNA", at positions 773 to 1426 of the family's 1533-position model. Lineage: Bacteria; Pseudomonadati; Pseudomonadota; Gammaproteobacteria; Enterobacterales; Enterobacteriaceae. The record is from RNAcentral.
CAGGAUUAGAUACCCUGGUAGUCCACGCCGUAAACGAUGUCGACUUGGAGGUUGUGCCCUUGAGGAGUGGCUUCCGGAGCUAACGCGUUAAGUCGACCGCCUGGGGAGUACGGCCGCAAGGUUAAAACUCAAAUGAAUUGACGGGGGCCCGCACAAGCGGUGGAGCAUGUGGUUUAAUUCGAUGCAACGCGAAGAACCUUACCUACUCUUGACAUCCAGCGAAUUCGGUAGAGAUACCUUAGUGCCUUCGGGAACGCUGAGACAGGUGCUGCAUGGCUGUCGUCAGCUCGUGUUGUGAAAUGUUGGGUUAAGUCCCGCAACGAGCGCAACCCUUAUCCUUUGUUGCCAGCGGGUAAUGCCGGGAACUCAAAGGAGACUGCCAGUGAUAAACUGGAGGAAGGUGGGGAUGACGUCAAGUCAUCAUGGCCCUUACGAGUAGGGCUACACACGUGCUACAAUGGCGCAUACAAAGAGAAGCGACCUCGCGAGAGCAAGCGGACCUCAUAAAGUGCGUCGUAGUCCGGAUCGGAGUCUGCAACUCGACUCCGUGAAGUCGGAAUCGCUAGUAAUCGUAGAUCAGAAUGCUACGGUGAAUACGUUCCCGGGCCUUGUACACACCGCCCGUCACACCAUGGGAGUGGGUUGCAAAAGAAG